CAUUCAGUAGCCUAGCUACUUGUUUAUACCCUUGUUUUUUUUGCGUACCUAUUGUUUCCUCGGUGGGCUUGCCUGCCGGUUGGACAAAAACUAUAACCUUUUUAAAUCUUCAAUCAGCGUCUGAAUUAUACAUAAUAAUUA
RNAcentral lists this unclassified non-coding RNA (141 nucleotides) under soil metagenome. RNAcentral's name for it is "partial internal transcribed spacer 1". The record is from RNAcentral.